This 460-nucleotide ribosomal RNA is filed under the name uncultured bacterium. RNAcentral's name for it is "partial 16S ribosomal RNA". It matches the Rfam family "Bacterial small subunit ribosomal RNA", at positions 338 to 795 of the family's 1533-position model. The record is from RNAcentral.
CCUACGGGUGGCAGCAGUGAGGAAUAUUGGUCAAUGGACGAGAGUCUGAACCAGCCAAGUAGCGUGAAGGAUGACUGCCCUAUGGGUUGUAAACUUCUUUUAUAUGGGAAUAAAAUGUUCCACGUGUGGGAUUUUGUAUGUACCAUAUGAAUAAGGAUCGGCUAACUCCGUGCCAGCAGCCGCGGUAAUACGGAGGAUCCGAGCGUUAUCCGGAUUUAUUGGGUUUAAAGGGAGCGUAGGUGGAUUGUUAAGUCAGUUGUGAAAGUUUGCGGCUCAACCGUAAAAUUGCAGUUGAAACUGGCAGUCUUGAGUACAGGAGAGGUGAGCGGAAUGCGGGGUGUAGCGGUGAAAUGCUUAGAUAUCACGAAGAACUCCGAUUGCGAAGGCAGUUCACUGGACUGCAACUGACACUGAGGCUCGAAAGUGUGGGUAUCAAACAGGAUUAGAUACCCUUGUAGUC